Molecule: non-coding RNA, 30 nt
Filed under: Mus musculus (house mouse)
Lineage: Eukaryota; Metazoa; Chordata; Mammalia; Rodentia; Muridae
Source: RNAcentral
UCACAGGCAUGCCCAGAAGGUCUCCUCCAU